CGUUAGUGUGAACCAGGUCUUACUUCUCGAAAAUAUAACUCAUAUAAUCAACAACAAUUCAAUAAUCUUACUUGCCGAACCGAGUAUUACAGUCUUUAUUUUCGAAUAAAAUAGUGCCUUUACAAUAAAUCUACAUUUGUACGAACUCAUCGUACAUAAUUAAUAAAUAAAUAAUAUAGGUCUUUAGAUCAGUUACAGAAGAGAUAAUUGUCAACCUAGUCUGCAUAUCAUUGAUGUAUUUCCGCCCAAUUUUGUCGCAGCUACGCAUUGAUUUGCACCUUUCCCACCAUAGCUGGUUGUAAAUUUACUACCAAUAAUUGUCUCUCCAGGUUUUGGAAGUCUGGGAGCAUAACUGGAAGAUAAAAGAACAAAAAUGUCAAUUACAUAACAGAUCAUAUGACGCUUACCUGCUGUCUCGUUCGUUUUAAAUUUCUAUUGAUUUGACAGACAUAGCAAGGUUAUAAUAAACAUACGUAAUACCUACGUUGUAAAGUCUACACUACAUGAUCCUAAAACCACUAUUUUGGGUACUAAAUCGUUUCCACAAUUCAUGUUGAGCAUUAAAUAAUGGGAUCGUGUCUAAAAAAA
This is a long non-coding RNA of Galleria mellonella (greater wax moth), 588 nucleotides long. RefSeq lists it as uncharacterized. NCBI's taxonomy places the organism in Eukaryota, Metazoa, Arthropoda, Insecta, Lepidoptera, Pyralidae. The transcript is spliced from 2 exons. The record is from RefSeq and is a predicted model, not a curated record.